Molecule: long non-coding RNA, 1217 nt
Organism: Oncorhynchus gorbuscha (pink salmon)
Lineage: Eukaryota; Metazoa; Chordata; Actinopteri; Salmoniformes; Salmonidae
Exons: 3
Source: RefSeq, a predicted model, not a curated record
UUUGGUUACUACAUGAUUCCAAAUGUGUUAUUUCAUAGUUUUGAUCUCUUCACUAUUAUUCUACAAUGUAGAAAAUAGUAAAUUAAUGAGUAGGUGUGUCCAAACUUUUGACUGGUACUGUAUGUCCAUGUGCUUCCAUCAAGUGUGAGAAAGCAGUGGAUUGUACAUACUGUAGUCGUAACAUGUUCAAGCUUCCAAAAUCUUUUUUUAAAUUGAGGAGUACCGAGAUGACUGCGCAGUAGCUUCAAUACAGCGCCCCCUGUCAGUCAUACAGGAUUUAUGCACAUUAUUGGCCUCCUGAGGUCUAAGGCACUGCAUCGCUGUGCUGAGGCUUCACUACAGACUCGGAUCAAAUCUAAGCUCUGUCACACCUGGCCGUGACCGGGAGACCCAUGAGGCGGCGCCGGGAUGUCCUUCUCUCAUCGUGCUCUAGCGACUCCUUUGGCGGGCCAGGCACCUGGAAGCUGACUUCGGUUGGACGGUGUUUCCACCGACACAUUGGUGUGGCUGGCUUCUGGGCUAAGCAAGCAAUGGGUCAAGCAGUGUGGCUUGGCAGGGUCAUGUUUCGGAGGACACAUGGCUCUCGAUCUUUGUCUCUCCCGAGUCCGUAGUAGAGUUGCAGCGAUGAGACAAGACUGUAACUACCAAUUGGAUGCCACAAAAAAAAGUGUUAAAAGUAACAAAUGUAUUUCUAAUUUUUUUAAAGGUGCUACACCUAGAAUUUCUCCCCCAUGUGGAAGCUAGGUGAAUUGCAAGAGCACUAGACUGCAUUCAAAAUAAAUCUCCCCCGCAAACCAUUUCCAUCAUAGCCACCUAAUCAUCCCCAGCUUCCAAUUUGCUUAUCCACCCCUCUCCUCCCCCUGUAGCUGUCCCCCAGUCAACUUACCUGGUAAAAUAAGGAUUGAAUGAGAAUGGCCGCAAUAAACAUGAAAUACAUUUUUUCAUCAUAUGUAUCGAAUAUCGAUGGAAUUAUCAGCCGAUGUCAAUAUACCGGUAAAAAUCAAUAUACCAAUAACGGCCGACAAUAUCGGUGAAUAUAUAUAUAUAUAUAUUAGUCAUGUUCUAGAGUAAAUUCAUUUGGGUGGUCAAACUUAUUACAGUGCCAGUCAAAAGUUUGGACACACCUACUCAUUUAAGGGUUUUUCUUUAUUUUGACUAUUUUAUACAUUGUAGAAUAAUAGUGACGACGUCAAUACUAUGAAAUAACACAUCAGGAA